RNAcentral lists this ribosomal RNA (254 nucleotides) under uncultured bacterium. RNAcentral describes it as "partial 16S ribosomal RNA". It matches the Rfam family "Bacterial small subunit ribosomal RNA", at positions 524 to 776 of the family's 1533-position model. The record is from RNAcentral.
GACGAACCGUGCAAACGUUACUCGGAAUCACUGGGCUUAAAGCGUACGUAGGCGGCAACAUAAGUCAGAGGUGAAAUCCUAUCGGCUCAACCGUGGAACUGCCUCUGAUACUGUGCUGCUUGAGGGAGAACGGGGCAUUCGGAACUUCCGGUGGAGCGGUGAAAUGUGUUGAUAUCGGAAGGAACGCCGGUGGCGAAAGCGGAAUGCUGGGUCUCAACUGACGCUGAGGUACGAAAGCUAGGGUAGCGAACGGG